This is a long non-coding RNA of Xenia sp. Carnegie-2017, 442 nucleotides long. RefSeq lists it as uncharacterized. The transcript has 2 exons. The record is from RefSeq and is a predicted model, not a curated record. Lineage: Eukaryota; Metazoa; Cnidaria; Anthozoa; Malacalcyonacea; Xeniidae.
UUUACCCCUAGAAAACAUCAUCACCUCAGCAUUUGCCAUCAGUAUCGUGCUUGAGCAGAAACUCGGAGCGAAGUGCAAAAAAAGCCUGACGUCUUCAGAAAAAAUUGCCGAAUUGAGAGAAAAUUUUGCAUGCACAAAACAACUGAUGUAAACAUGUAGAGUUUGCUUGUAAUAUGAAACACUGCCAUAUGCUGUAGUCUUGAAACUUGGCUGUGUCUUGUGUUCAACUGCUUUGGUAUAGUUUGUUGUGGAAAGAAUCGAAUCAUUCUGCAAGUUGGAGGUGAUGUCAGCUGAUGCUACAGCCUCUGAUGUUCGUAAUCGAUGACUAUCAAUUUUAUUUGCAUCUUGUGCCAUUCCAUUAACGUUGCUUGCAUGUGCCAUAGAAGCAGUUAUAGGUUGAGAAUUACGUAACUAGUCAUGAAAAUAAAGUAAAUGGUUUGAA